This 466-nucleotide ribosomal RNA is filed under the name uncultured bacterium. Its description in RNAcentral is "partial 16S ribosomal RNA". It matches the Rfam family "Bacterial small subunit ribosomal RNA", at positions 28 to 507 of the family's 1533-position model. The record is from RNAcentral.
GACGAACGCUGGCGGCGUGCUUAACACAUGCAAGUCGAACGGAAAGGCUCCUGCUUGCAGGGGUACUCGAGUGGCGAACGGGUGAGUAACACGUGGGUGAUCUGCCCUGCACUUCGGGAUAAGCCUGGGAAACUGGGUCUAAUACCGGAUAGGACGAUGGUUUGGAUGCCAUUUUUGAAAGAUUUUUCGGUGUGGGAUGGGCUCGCGGCCUAUCAGCUUGUUUGUGGGGUAAUGGCCUACCAAGGCGUCGACGGGUAGCCGGCCUGAGAGGGUGUACGGCCACAAUGGGACUGAGAUACGGCCCAGACUCCUACGGGAGGCAGCAGUGGGGAAUAUUGCACAAUGGGCGCAAGCCUGAUGCAGCGACGCCGGGUGGGGGAUGACGGCCUUCGGGUGGUAAACUCCUUUCGCUAGGGAAGAAGCGCAAGUGACGGUACCUGGAGAAGAAGCACCGGCUAACUACGUG